RNAcentral lists this ribosomal RNA (253 nucleotides) under uncultured bacterium. RNAcentral's name for it is "partial 16S ribosomal RNA". It matches the Rfam family "Bacterial small subunit ribosomal RNA", at positions 524 to 776 of the family's 1533-position model. The record is from RNAcentral.
GACGUAGGGGGCCAGCGUUGUUCGGAAUUACUGGGCUUAAAGGGUGCGUAGGCGGCGCGGAAAGUUGGGUGUGAAAUCCCUCGGCUCAACCGAGGAACUGCGCCCAAAACUACCGUGCUCGAGGAAGAUAGAGGUGAGCGGAACUCACGGUGGAGCGGUGAAAUGCGUUGAUAUCGUGAGGAACACCCGUGGCGAAAGCGGCUCACUGGGUCUUUUCUGACGCUGAUGCACGAAAGCUAGGGGAGCAAACGGG